RNAcentral lists this long non-coding RNA (1188 nucleotides) under Naja naja (Indian cobra). Its description in RNAcentral is "lncRNA (ENSNNAG00000009451.1)". Lineage: Eukaryota; Metazoa; Chordata; Lepidosauria; Squamata; Elapidae. The record is from RNAcentral.
GUGGGUUUCCUGCUUUGGGGGGGUAGACUAGAAGACCUCCAAGUCCCUUCCAACUGUUAUUCUAUUCUAUUCUGAUUAUUCUGUUCUGUUCUAUUAUCCCUAUUCUGUCCUAUUGUAUUCUUAUUCCAUUCCAUUCUGUUAUUCUAUUCUAUUCUCAUACUUUCCUGUUCUGUUCUGAUUUCUCUAUUCUGUUCUGUUCUAUUCUGUUCUAUUAUUCCCAUUCUAUCCUAUUGUAUUCCUAUUCCAUUCCUAUUCUAUUCUAUUCGCACUUCCACAACCAGCAAGUCUUGAAUAAGCAUUGAUGAUCUUAGAUACGCAUCGUGCAAAGCCAGCCAGUUUAAUCAGCUCGCGGGAGAGAGGGCAUGAGUUGCUGGUGCCCAGAAAGCGGAUCAAUUCUGGACCUCCGUCAAGCGUCCAGGUUCUGCCGCCCAAGUGUAGCUUUCCACACCAAAGCUCCGCAAAGCAGAGCCAGAGAAAGCUUUAAAGCCCGCGCCUGCGCAGAGAAGACCUGCGCACGGGAGUUUGGGCAUUCUGCACGUCGCGCAUGCGCAGGUUGCGUUACGGCCCUCGCGAGGAGGAGGAGGGCAAGAGGCGUUUCCGCAGCAGCAAGGGGGACGUCUGCGACUGGAAGGCCUCUGGGACUCGAGUGCGCAUGCUUACUCCGCAGCAAGGGGGACGUCUGCGACUGGAAAGCCUCCGGGACUCGAGCGCGCAUGCGCUCUCCACCCUCCGUCCCCGUUCCACCCGUGGACGCCGCCGCCGCCGCCUUUCCCGCGGCGACCUGGAAGCGGAAUGCGGGAGGCGGGGCCAGGCGGAGAAGGCCGCGCAGUCGCCGUCGGGCUGCUGAGCAUCAAUGUAUUUCAGAUGGCAGCUAUGAGCCUUUUUCUUCCUGAUGUAACUAAUGUUCGUGGGUUCUAGUGUACACCAAACAAAAACAAGGUAAGAAAUCUGUUUUUAACCAUUAUAUGUACGUUUCUGUUUCAAAAUAAGCACUGCGGUUAUGAUAUUAAAUAUAUAUGCAUAAAAUUAACCUGUGAGGAUAAAUUCCAAUUUAAAUAAUUAUGUUCAUAUUCUUAAUCUUGGAUCCGUGGGGUGCUUGGCAUUUUGCUGUUUUCUCUCUCGUUUUUCUCCCCUACCAAUGGAGGAAAGCGAACAGAGACAUUGAAAAACCCUCAAAGGCAUGCUCGC